AGAGUUUGAUCAUGGCUCAGAGCGAACGCUAGCGGCAGGCUUAAUACAUGCAAGUCGAGGGGCAGCAUGACCGUAGCAAUACGGUUGAUGGCGACCGGCAAACGGGUGCGGAACACGUACACAACCUUCCUUUAAGCGGGGAAUAGCCCGGGGAAACCCGGAUUAAUACCCCAUAGCAUGGUGAAGAGGCAUCUCUUUACUCUUAAAGAUUUAUCACUUAAAGAUGGGUGUGCGGCUGAUUAGCUAGUUGGCGGGGUAACGGCCCACCAAGGCAACGAUCAGUAACUGGUGUGAGAGCACGACCAGUCACACGGGCACUGAGACACGGGCCCGACUCCUACGGGAGGCAGCAGUAAGGAAUAUUGGUCAAUGGACGAAAGUCUGAACCAGCCAUGCCGCGUGGAGGAUGAAGGUCCUCUGGAUUGUAAACUUCUUUUAUCUGGGACGAAAAAAGGUUUUUCUAGACCGACUGACGGUACCAGAUGAAUAAGCACCGGCUAACUCCGUGCCAGCAGCCGCGGUAAUACGGAGGGUGCAAGCGUUAUCCGGAUUCACUGGGUUUAAAGGGUGCGUAGGUGGAUUGGUAAGUCAGUGGUGAAAUCUCCGGGCUUAACCCGGAAACUGCCAUUGAUACUAUCAAUCUUGAAUACCGUGGAGGUCAGUAGAAUAUGUCAUGUAGCGGUGAAAUGCUUAGAUAUGACAUAGAAUACCAAUUGCGAAGGCAGCUGGCUACACGAAUAUUGACACUCAGGCACGAAAGCGUGGGGAUCAAACAGGAUUAGAUACCCUAGUAGUCC
RNAcentral lists this ribosomal RNA (797 nucleotides) under uncultured bacterium. RNAcentral describes it as "bacterial SSU rRNA". It matches the Rfam family "Bacterial small subunit ribosomal RNA", at positions 8 to 796 of the family's 1533-position model. The record is from RNAcentral.